RNAcentral lists this ribosomal RNA (422 nucleotides) under uncultured bacterium. Its description in RNAcentral is "bacterial SSU rRNA". It matches the Rfam family "Bacterial small subunit ribosomal RNA", at positions 359 to 773 of the family's 1533-position model. The record is from RNAcentral.
GAAUCUUCCGCAAUGGACGCAAGUCUGACGGAGCAACGCCGCGUGAGUGAAGAAGGUUUUCGGAUCGUAAAACUCUGUUGUCGGAGAAGAACACGUAAGCGAGUAACUGCGCUUACCAUGACGGUACCCGACCAGACAGCCACGGCUAACUACGUGCCAGCAGCCGCGGUAAUACGUAGGGGGCAAGCGUUGGCCGGAAUUAUUGGGCGUAAAGCGCGCGCAGGCGGUUCUUUAAGUCUGAUGUGAAAGCCCACGGCUCAACCGUGGAGGGUCAUUGGAAACUGGAGAACUUGAGUACAGAAGAGGAAAGCGGAAUUCCACGUGUAGCGGUGAAAUGCGUAGAGAUGUGGAGGAACACCAGUGGCGAAGGCGGCUUUCUGGUCUGUAACUGACGCUGAGGCGCGAAAGCGUGGGGAGCAAAC